UACGUAGGGCGCGAGCGUUGUCCGGAAUUAUUGGGCGUAAAGAGCUCGUAGGCGGCCGGUUGCGUCUGCUGUGAAAUCCCGGGGCUUAACCCCGGGCGUGCAGUGGAUACGGGCCGGCUGGAGGCAGGCAGGGGAGAAUGGAAUUCCCGGUGUAGCGGUGAAAUGCGCAGAUAUCGGGAGGAACACCGGUGGCGAAGGCGGCAUCCUGGACCAACACUGACGCUGAUGAGCGAAAGCCAGGGGAGCAAACGGG
RNAcentral lists this ribosomal RNA (253 nucleotides) under uncultured bacterium. Its description in RNAcentral is "partial 16S ribosomal RNA". It matches the Rfam family "Bacterial small subunit ribosomal RNA", at positions 524 to 776 of the family's 1533-position model. The record is from RNAcentral.